ACAGGUUAUUAAGAGCCUAUGGUGGAUGCCUUGACACAAAGAGGCGAUGAAGGACGCGGCGUGGCUGCGAUAAGCCUCGGGGAGGUGCUUAGCAACCUUUGAUCCGGGGAUUUCCGAAUGGGGCAACCCGUCUCGCAAUUCAAUGCGGGACAUCUUUCGAGUAACGUCGGAAGAAGCGAACCCGGGGAAGUGAAACAUCUCAGUACCCGGAGGAAAAGAAAAAACAUCAGCUUUUAGCUUUUAGCUCAUAGCUUUCGGGGUUUUCCCCGUCGGCUAAUGGCUAUAAGCUAUAAGCUGAAUUAUUCCCUUAGUAGCGGCGAGCGAAAAGGGAAGAGCCUAAACCCGUUGCGUGACGCGCAAGCGAAGCGCGGCGGGGGUUGCAAGGCAAUGACGUUUGAGGUUUAAGUCGCAAGAUUUAAUUUUCAAGAGAGUUAAAAAAUAAAACGGUUAAUUGAACGUCCCUGGAAAGGGCGACCAAAGAGGGUAAUAGUCCCGUAAAUGAAAAUUGUUUUGUCUCUCAGUCAUUGUUCUUAAGUACCGCGGGGAACGACAGCCCCGUGGGAAGCCGGGAUGACUAUAAUCCCAAGGCUAAAUACUCUUUGUGAUCGAUAGUGAACUAGUACCGUGAGGGAAAGGUUAAAAGAACCCCGGUGAGGGGAGUGAAAUAGAACCUGAAACCAUAAGGCUUACAAAGAGUCGGAGUCCCUCCGCCCGCAAGGGCGUUUGGGAUGACGGCGUGCUUUUUGCAGAACGAGCCAACGAGUGUAUGUGCGUUGCGUGCUUAAGUCGCUUAAAAAACGACGAAAGCAAAGGGAAACCGAGUCUUAAAUGGGCGAUUUGUAGCGCAUAUACGACCCGAAGCCAAGCGAGCUACCCCUGGCCAGGAUGAAUCACGGGUAAUACUGUGAGGAGGUCCGAACCGGUGAGUCGUGCAACGCUCUCGGAUGAGCUGGGGGUUGUAGUGAAAAGCUAAUCGAGCUUGGUAAUAGCUGGUUCUCUCCGAAAUAGCUUUAGGGCUAGCCUCUGAGUUCCCGUUUUUGGAGGUAGAGCACUGGAUGGAUUGAGAUGCGAAAGCUACUUAGUCCAAUCAAACUCCGAAUUCCGAAAACAAAUGCUCAGGGAGUAAGUCUAAGGGGGCGAAGCUCCUUAGACAAAAGGGAAAAAGCCCAGACCAUCAUCUAAGGUCCCUAAAUUCGAGCUAAGUGUAAAGGAAGUGGCCCGCCAGAGACAGGUAGGAGGUUGGCUUAGAGGUAGCCAUCCUUUAAAGAGUGUGUAACAACUCACUACCAUAUGGCGGACUGCGCCAAAGAUGUAUAGGGGCUAAGCUCGGUACCGAAGAUAUGGAUGUAUUUCGCGCAAGCGAAGUACGUGGUAGGAGAGCGUUCUUUAUGCAGUGAAGCAGAACCGGAAGGUUCUGUGGAGCGUAAAGAAGUGAGAAUGUUGGCAUGAGUAACCGCAAGUCCGGUGAAAAACCGGACCACCGAUAACCUAAGGUUUCCUUGGCAAUGUAAAUCAGCCAAGGGUUAGGCGGGCCUAAGGCGAUGCCGAAAGGCGAAGCUGACGGACAGCCGGUUAAUAUUCCGGCCCCGCCUUCAAUCUAUCCCGCAGCAAUGCGGGAUAAAAUGGGGUGACGUAAUUUGAAGGUUGAGGCGCGUUAUUGGAUUCGCGUUCUUGGUUUUUGAUGGAUUUUCCAGGCAAAUCCGGAAAGUCGUUAACAUCGGAGAUUGAGAAAAUUUUUGAGCAAUCAAGAAAAUUUCAGCCAACCAGUUACCUAGAAAACCCUCGUUAUUCCGGUGUUUUUGCUUUUUCGGAGCAAUCCGUAUUGGCGAAUGCCGGUGAUUGGAGGCGACCGUACCACAAUCCGACACAGGUAGGUUGGGCGAGAAGCCCGAGGUGAACGGGUGAUUCCUCGUUAAGGAACUCGGCAAAAAAGCUAGACGUAAGUUCGCAAUAUGUCUUCCCCGCUUAGGCGGGGCGCAGCUAAAGUACCCCUAGCGACUGUUUAUCAAAAACACAGCUCCCUGCUAACUCGCAAGAGGAUGUAUAGGGGGUGACGCCUGUCCAGUGCUGGAAGGUUAACGGUAGAUGUCUCUUUGUAUUUGAGAUUAUAUCAAUGACGCGGAGAGGCUGAUGCCCGAAGCCCCAGUGAACGACAGCGAUAACUAUAAUCGUUCUAAGGUACCGAAAUCCCUUGGCAUGUAAGUUAUGUCCCGCAGGAAUGGCGCAACGACUGGGGGACUGUCUCAACGAGGAGCCCGGUGAAAAUGCAGUGGUGGUGAAGAUGCCCCCUACCUGCGGCAAGACGAAAAGACCCCGGAAGCUUUACUGCAACUUGAUAUUGGCUUAAGGUUCUGGAUGCGUAGAAUAGGUGGGAGGCUUUGAAGUUCGCCUUUCGGGGCGGAUGGAGCCGUCAGUGAAAUACCACUCUUUCAGGACUUUAAAUCUAACCCCGAUGAUGAAAACGCCGGGGGACAGUGUCUGGCGGGCAGUUUUGGUGGGGCGCUAUCCUCCUAAAAUGUAACGGAGGAGUUUAUUAAGGUCGGCUAACUCCGGAUGGAAAUCGGAGUGAUAGGGUAAAGCCAUAAGCCGGCUUGACUGCAAGGCGUAUAUGCCGCGCAGCUACGAAAGUAUAACUUAGUGAACCGAUGGUUCUUUGUAGAAAGGCCAGAGAUUAUCAGACAAAAGCUACUCCGGGGAUAACAGGCUAGUCGCAUCCAAGAGUCCAUAUCGACGAUGCGGUUCGGCACCUCGAUGUCGGCUCAUCUUAUCCUGGGGCUGGAGAAGGUCCCAAGGGUUUGGCUGUUCGCCAAUUAAAAAGAUACGUGAGCUGGGUUCAAACCGUCAGAAGAACCUUUAACAUCGAUAAUCACACGGCGGCUUUCACGAGUAAUCGUGAUCGAAUAAACCGACUCAUAUCGGUGAAGUCCUAAUAUUGUAUGGUAACCUGUCAUAUGUUAGGAUAAUACCGAGGGAAGUUGUGUAUGACUAAAAAUCUUUCGCAAACACAAAAAGCUUAUCUUGCCGGUUUUCUUGAUGGUGACGGCAGUAUCUAUGUAAGAGCAAAACCAAAUCCAACGUAUCGUUAUGGAUUUCAGAUUGCUCCAU
RNAcentral lists this ribosomal RNA (3105 nucleotides) under Candidatus Azambacteria bacterium RIFCSPLOWO2_02_FULL_46_11. RNAcentral describes it as "bacterial LSU rRNA". It matches the Rfam family "Bacterial large subunit ribosomal RNA". The record is from RNAcentral. Lineage: Bacteria; Candidatus Azamiibacteriota.